AGCGAACGCUGGCGGUAGGCUUAACACAUGCAAGUCGAACGGCAGGACAGUAAGAGCUUGUUCUUACGGGUGGCGAGUGGCGGACGGGAGACGAACACAUCGGACUCUAGCUUUUCGGGGGGGUUAACGUAGCGAAACCUACGCUAAUAACGCAUACGAUGCAUCCGUGGCAGGAUUGGAUCUUCUGAGCUUGCGCGAUUGCAUGAGCCGAUGUCGGAUUAGCUAGUUGGCGGGGUAAAGACCCACCCAUGCGACGAUCCGUAGCCGGUCUGAGUGGAUGAUCGGCGACACUGGAACUGAGACACGGUCAAGACUCCUACGGGAGGCAGCAGUGGGGAAUAUUGGACAAUGGGCGCGAGCCUGAUCCAGCCAUACCGCGUGGGUGAAGAAGGCCUUCGGGUUGUAAAGCCCUUUUGUUGGGAAAGAAAAGCAGCAGGUUAAUACCCCGCUGUUCUGACGGUACCCAAAGAAUAAGCACCGGCUAACUUCGUG
RNAcentral lists this ribosomal RNA (492 nucleotides) under uncultured bacterium. RNAcentral describes it as "partial 16S ribosomal RNA". It matches the Rfam family "Bacterial small subunit ribosomal RNA", at positions 29 to 507 of the family's 1533-position model. The record is from RNAcentral.